Molecule: small RNA, 120 nt
Filed under: Klebsiella pneumoniae
Lineage: Bacteria; Pseudomonadati; Pseudomonadota; Gammaproteobacteria; Enterobacterales; Enterobacteriaceae
Description: RtT sRNA
Rfam family: RtT RNA
About the family: This family represents a bacterial cis-regulatory element known as RtT RNA. The exact function of RtT is unknown although it is thought that it may be involved in changing the cellular response in relation to amino acid starvation.
Source: RNAcentral
ACGGGGAAGGAUGAGAAGCUUCGACCAAGGUUCGACUCGAGCGAAGCUAGAGAACGUUGCCGCAGGCAAUGGCCCGAAGGCGAGGCGCUUUAGCGCCGAGUAAUCCUUCCCCCACCACUU